UACGAAGGGGGCUAGCGUUGCUCGGAAUCACUGGGCGUAAAGGGCACGUAGGCGGGUGCUCAAGUCCGUGGUGAAAUCCUCCGGCUCAACCGGAGAACUGCCUCGGAUACUGGGCGUCUCGAGUGUGGUAGGGGUAUGCGGAACUAUCGGUGGAGCGGUGAAAUGCGUUGAUAUCGAUAGGAACUCCGGUGGCGAAGGCGGCAUACUGGACCACCACUGACGCUGAUGCGCGAAAGCCAGGGGAGCAAGCGGG
Molecule: ribosomal RNA, 253 nt
Filed under: uncultured bacterium
Lineage: Bacteria
Description: partial 16S ribosomal RNA
Rfam family: Bacterial small subunit ribosomal RNA
Source: RNAcentral